RNAcentral lists this small nucleolar RNA (109 nucleotides) under Hermanssonia centrifuga. Lineage: Eukaryota; Fungi; Basidiomycota; Agaricomycetes; Polyporales; Meruliaceae. The record is from RNAcentral.
GUAGGAUGAUCCUUCAGAUGACGAGUCUGAAAGUGCUAGGGCGAGGUUUCCUCGUCUUAGCCAACUUUGACGACAUCUUUUUAUAUAUACCAUUCAUGCAAAACUGAUA